RNAcentral lists this ribosomal RNA (422 nucleotides) under uncultured bacterium. Its description in RNAcentral is "bacterial SSU rRNA". It matches the Rfam family "Bacterial small subunit ribosomal RNA", at positions 355 to 774 of the family's 1533-position model. The record is from RNAcentral.
UGAGGAAUAUUGCGCAAUGGAGGCAACUCUGACGCAGCCAUGCCGCGUGCAGGAAGAAGGCGCUACGCGUUGUAAACUGCUUUUAAUCGGGAAGAAACCCCGGGACGUGUCCCGGGUUGCCGGUACCGAUGGAAUAAGCACCGGCUAACUUCGUGCCAGCAGCCGCGGUAAUACGAAGGGUGCAAGCGUUAUCCGGAUUCAUUGGGAUUAAAGGGUGCGUAGGCGGGACAGCAAGUCAGCGGUGAAAUCCCGUGGCUCAACCACGGAAUUGCCGUUGAUACUGCUGUUCUUGAGUGCGUUUGACAUGGUCGGAAUGUGCAGUGUAGAGGUGAUAUUCUUAGAUAUGGCACAGAAGACCGAUAGUGAAGCCAGCUCACGAAGACGAAACUGCCGCGGAGGCACGAAAGCGUGGGGAUCAAACA